Molecule: ribosomal RNA, 301 nt
Filed under: uncultured bacterium
Lineage: Bacteria
Description: partial 16S ribosomal RNA
Rfam family: Bacterial small subunit ribosomal RNA
Source: RNAcentral
CAGUAGCCGCGGUAAUACGAAGGGGGCUAGCGUUGUUCGGAUUUACUGGGCGUAAAGGGCGCGUAGGCGGACUGAUAAGUCAGGGGUGAAAUCCCAAGGCUCAACCUUGGAACUGCCUUUGAUACUGUUUGUCUUGAGUUCGAGAGAGGUAAGUGGAAUUGCGAGUGUAGAGGUGAAAUUCGUAGAUAUUCGCAAGAACACCAGUGGCGAAGGCGGCUUACUGGCUCGAAACUGACGCUGAGGCGCGAAAGCGUGGGGAGCAAACAGGAUUAGAUACCCCCGUAGUCCCUGUCUCUUAUAC